GGAGAGGUGGCAGAGCGGUUGAAUGCGGCAGAUUCGAAAUCUGUUAUAGGGUCACACCUAUCGAGGGUUCGAAUCCCUCCCUCUCCG
This 87-nucleotide transfer RNA is filed under the name Leptolyngbyaceae cyanobacterium RM1_1_2. RNAcentral describes it as "tRNA-Ser". It matches the Rfam family "tRNA". Rfam says of the family: Transfer RNA (tRNA) molecules are approximately 80 nucleotides in length. Their secondary structure includes four short double-helical elements and three loops (D, anti-codon, and T loops). The record is from RNAcentral. RNAcentral also lists the same sequence under 2 other names. Lineage: Bacteria; Bacillati; Cyanobacteriota; Cyanophyceae; Leptolyngbyales; Leptolyngbyaceae.